CCUACGGGAGGCAGCAGUGAGGAAUAUUGGUCAAUGGACGAGAGUCUGAACCAGCCAAGUAGCGUGAAGGAUGACUGCCCUAUGGGUUGUAAACUUCUUUUAUAUGGGAAUAAAAUGUUCCACGUGUGGGAUUUUGUAUGUACCAUAUGAAUAAGGAUCGGCUAACUCCGUGCCAGCAGCCGCGGUAAUACGGAGGAUCCGAGCGUUAUCCGGAUUUAUUGGGGUUAAAGGGAGAGUAGGUGGAUUGUUAAGUCAGUGGUGAAAGUUUGCGGCUCAACCGUAAAAUUGGAGUUGAAACUGGCAGUCUUGAGUACAGUAGAGGUGGGCGGAAUUCGUGGUGUAGCGGUGAAAUGCUUAGAUAUCACGAAGAACUCCGAUUGCGAAGGCAGCGCACUGGACUGCAACUGACACUGAGGCUCGAAAGUGUGGGUAUCAAACAGGAUUAGAUACCCGGGUAGUC
This 460-nucleotide ribosomal RNA is filed under the name uncultured bacterium. Its description in RNAcentral is "partial 16S ribosomal RNA". It matches the Rfam family "Bacterial small subunit ribosomal RNA", at positions 338 to 795 of the family's 1533-position model. The record is from RNAcentral.